RNAcentral lists this ribosomal RNA (762 nucleotides) under Triticum aestivum (bread wheat). Its description in RNAcentral is "partial small subunit ribosomal RNA". Lineage: Eukaryota; Viridiplantae; Streptophyta; Magnoliopsida; Poales; Poaceae. The record is from RNAcentral.
AUGGCAACAAGCUGCACGUGCUCUGUAUGUGGUAUGCCGGACUCAUGGAGGCAUAGUUUGCUGGAGUGCUCAGUAGCUCGAUGUGUAUGGUCGUUGGUCGAUCACGAGUUAACUGAUGAACUGUUGGCCAACACUGAACAAAAUGCUAAGAGAUGGUUGUUCUCUAUGAUCGAGCAGCUCCCCCAUGAAAAAUUCAUUAAGCUAACUGACACCCUUUGGGCUAUAUGGUGGGCACGGCGAAAGCUAAUCCACUCGAGAACCAGGUCAAAUGGAACUCAGAGAAGAUGGAUACCUACUGCAGAAGGCUAUGGUAAGAUCAAUGUCGACGCUGCCGUCUCACAGGGUAUCGGCGCUGUGGCAGGUGUAUGCAGAAAUAAUAGAGGAGGAUACUUGGGGUCCUCAGUGUUCGUCAUUCGCGGACUGACGGACCCUCCAACUCUAGAAGCUAUCGCAUGUAGAGAGGGUCUUUCCCUUGCGGAAGAUCUGGGACUGCAGAACCUGAUGAUUGCAUCAGAUUGCGAAACAGUGGUGAAGCAUAUUAAGGAGAGAACAGGAGGGAACUACGGUGGAGUUGUGAAGGAGAUUACAUCCUGCCAAACUAUUUUCAAUUCAUGUAUUUUUAAGUUCGAAUCUAGGAGCUCUAAUGUUGAGCCACACAAAUUAGCUAGGUAUGCUAUUACAUUAGAUCAAGGCCGCCACUUAUGGCUAGGGCUUCCACAUAAUACUAAUGUAAUACCGGUUGAUAUACGAACUCAUGAAUAA